This 448-nucleotide ribosomal RNA is filed under the name uncultured bacterium. RNAcentral's name for it is "bacterial SSU rRNA". It matches the Rfam family "Bacterial small subunit ribosomal RNA", at positions 470 to 916 of the family's 1533-position model. The record is from RNAcentral.
UGACGGUACCUUGAUAAGAAGCACCGGCUAACUACGUGCCAGCAGCCGCGGUAAUACGUAGGGUGCGAGCGUUAAUCGGAAUUACUGGGCGUAAAGCGUGCGCAGGCUGUUUUGUAAGUCAGAUGUGAAAUCCCUGAGCUCAACUUAGGAACUGCGUUUGAAACUACAAGACUAGAAUAUGUCAGAGGGGGGUAGAAUUCCACGUGUAGCAGUGAAAUGCGUAGAGAUGUGGAGGAAUACCAAUGGCGAAGGCAGCCCCCUGGGAUAAUAUUGACGCUCAUGCACGAAAGCGUGGGGAGCAAACAGGAUUAGAUACCCUGGUAGUCCACGCCCUAAACGAUGUCUACUAGUUGUUGGUGGAGUAAAAUCCAUGAGUAACGCAGCUAACGCGUGAAGUAGACCGCCUGGGGAGUACGGUCGCAAGAUUAAAACUCAAAUGAAUUGACGG